Molecule: long non-coding RNA, 2209 nt
Organism: Zingiber officinale
Lineage: Eukaryota; Viridiplantae; Streptophyta; Magnoliopsida; Zingiberales; Zingiberaceae
Exons: 7
Source: RefSeq, a predicted model, not a curated record
GGUCCUGCCUUCAAUGAUCGUGGUGAGUGUAUUGGUGUGGCAUUCCAAAUAUUCCUUCUGCUAAAUCUGCCUUUUAUUUUCCCUACUUUAUCUAUUCCAAACUUUUCAAAAAUCUUUUAUAGAUUAACUUUGUCCCAGAAUAAUGUUUAAUAGAAAUGCAUCUGAGUACUAUUUAAUGGAAAAGGAGAGUAGGCAGCUGCUUUCCAGGUGUUGUUGUCACCAGUGGAAUCUUCUGCAACUCGAGCCAUUUCUAGGGUUUCAGAUUGGGAGUUUGCUCGGCGCUCGCCCCAUACGAGUGCAGUCAAGGUGUUUGCUUUCGAUCUUGAGAGAAGGAUUUGUAACAUAAAACUAUGGAAAUAAUGCUUUUUUUUGUUUUUGAAAAAAAAUAUGAAGAACUGCUAUUCAAAAGCUGGCAUUUUGCUACGAGUGGUUGGCCAACAGCUCAAAGCUUGCCUGAAAUAAUAUAACUCCCUUUCAUGUUUUGCCACUACUGUUACCUCUGAAAUGCAAAAACAGUAUUAGUACUAUCACUCAUUUGCAAAUUGCCAGAGUUUUUUUUAGUAUCAUCUUAAUUUGACUAUCUUGCAAGUUAAGAGUUGAUCAUGAGAAAAUUUUGAUAAUGUGUUGAAGGGAGCAUCAGUAGAAGAUGGUAGGAGUAUUGCAGUUCUUCGAUUUCGGUCAAACCAGCUCCUCCCGUAAGUUGCUGGCACUCAAUCGACACAAUAGUGGUCUUGAACCUCCUAGAAAUAGCUUAGAGGUUCCUCCUAUGAAUACUUAUCAUAAUUUUCAACUGGUUCAUGAAGACAUUCAAGUAAGUUGUUGGGUUUAAGAAUUGUUCUUCAGAGUAUUCAUGGCUUCUUUAGGCAAGCAUUUCACUGAUUUAGCAAUAAGAGAGCCAAAAUUACUAUCAUUUGUGUAUAUCUGAACGUACAUGCUUCUGGUUAUGUUCUUGAUUUGGUACUUGAGAUUUGUCUUCGUUGAUUUAUGUGAAUCUUCUUGUGGGGAUUUAACAAGAACCGAGAACAAAAAUUGAUUCCCUUUUUAUAUUCACAUGAUUUCAGUGCUCAAGUUACUAUAAAGAGGACAUUUGCCAACAAUCUCACACCAAAAAAUUGAUUGCUGUUGAAAGGCUCCACAGAACAAAGGAUCAGCAUAAUAGACCCAGUGUUGUGGCUUGAUUAAUGGGAAUGGAGUCACUGCCUUCAGACACCAAGCCUACUAUACAUCAAUUCAUCAAUAAGUCUCUAUCAGCUUUGGGAGAUGUGAUCUCUGCUCUUGCCUCCAAGAACCCACAUAUUCCAUAUAGGAACUCUAAGCUAACACAUUUGCUCCAGAGCUCUCUAGGCUGUGUCCCUUGUUGCCACUCAAUUCCGAAGCAAUCUCUCAAAGUGUCUUGUCUUGACCAAUAGGUAAUUGUUCAUGUAAUUGAUAUUCAACAUUGCAUUUCUUAGAAUUGUCAUUGUGGUCGAGGACAAAUAGAGAGUAUUUUGAAUACAUCACUGAUGCUAAGUUGGGAGACCCUUCAAUUCACUACAAAUAGAGAGUAUUCGUGGAGAUUGUGAUGAGAUUUGGGUUGACAAUGAGAAUUUUUAGUUUGGUAACUUUAUUUAUGAUUUAUAUAUAUGACUAUUUACUUUAUUUUGGUAACUUCAUGAAGCUAAUGAUGGUGGACUUCUUGCCACUAUCAUGGCUGCUGGUUUCAAAGGUAUUGGUAUCAUAAUCCACUAAAUAUGCACUGUUGUUAUUUUCUUGUGAGAAGGUCAAUAAUUUAUCUAUCAGGUGAGCUUAACUGGUUUCAACCUGGAGUGAGAAUGGAGAUAUUUCGGCUUGAUGCUUGGUAUUUCAAGGAAGAUCUAUUGAUAAACCCUACUAAUUACAUAGUGAAAGGGCUUAAUUGUAGGUGUUGGCUACCAUAAAUUAUUCUUCGUUGUAUGCAGGUGUCAGUUUCUCUUGCUAAAACGGGCAAUUUAAAAGAUCAUCGUGAUGCACUUGUAGAAUUAGUUGCUUCUUCGGAAUAUGGAAUCCUUCAUUUGUUUAGUCAUCACCAGUUACAGGAAUUUUUAUUAAUUGAAAGGGAAUGCUCAUUACACGCAAUGGAGUACGAAGAAGAGUUGUCUGUCAUUAAUUCUCAACAAGAAUGAUGGUAAUUUUUGUUUACAAAUCUCAAGUACUCCAGAGUUGAAAUUGAUGAAGUGCGGUUCAAGUGGGC